This 3027-nucleotide long non-coding RNA is filed under the name Androctonus crassicauda. Lineage: Eukaryota; Metazoa; Arthropoda; Arachnida; Scorpiones; Buthidae. The record is from RNAcentral.
GUGCAAUCCGAUGGUAUAAUUGUAGAAGAAAGUUGUCACUUUGUGCAUGCGCACUGAUUAAUUUUCGUGCGCAAAGGAAUCGUUUGGGUUUCGCUUCUCGAGUUCUGCGCGCAUCGCUACAACUCGCGACAUUCCUGUUCACAUUAUCUGAUUUCAUUCUUUAUAUAAGUAGUAUCCGCUAGAGAUAUUUGAAGUUGGAAGAGACACUAAAAUGCUAAAAGUAUAAUAAUUAUUAUUAUAAUGUUUGCUGCGAUAAUAAUAAUAAUAAUAAAGUAUCGUUUUCUAUCCUUACAACUAAGUAAAUUUCCAAUCAGUUUCAUAAAAAGUAAAGUAGUGCUUCGUUUUUCUUAGUAUCUAAUAAGAAUUGCGAACACGUUUCGACCGUUUUAAUGUUUAAAGAAGAUGAAUCCAAUCAGUGUUUCAAAUCAUUUUCAAUCGAAAUCCAUGCUUACUUAUCAACUGCUACUUCGUAAUUACUGCGAAUUGCCGGGAGGAGUUAGAAGGGGGUAAAAAAGCAGCAAUUUAACGCAACCAGUCACUUCGUACGUCGUCGUUGGGUCGAUGAUGGAUCAUGUCCGUCUUCAAUACGACGCGCCAUUACAGUGACCUAACGUGACUGCUUAUUGUUAAGGGGAUGAAAGACAGUCAGGAGGGAGUUUAGACUAGACUAGGGGUCAAAUCCCACAUGAAUCGAUAGUAUUUUCUGCUUUCCACUUCUCGAAACCCGUUUUGUGAUGAAUGCGUAUGUCUCUCUACCUCACCUACCUACCUAUCCACUCACCCCGAGCUCUAUUGAUUUUCCCUUAUCUCCGUGAAAUCAACGCUCUCUAAACGGGAGACAUAUUGGCUGCAUUCCCAUCGAAACGAUUCUCAUACGUCACAUAAAAUCUUCACUUUUUUUUUUUAAUAACAUUAUUUUCCAAUUGACAAAAAAAAAAGAAAAAUUACGCAACACCAUAAAUCAUAAAACUCGUUGGCUUCUAUCAAUGGGGGGUUAUAUCGGUUAAACAAACUUAAUAUUUAAGAAAUGUGUCUCAUUUUCAACGAAUAUCUCUCGCCCACUAGUGGAUGGUAGCGUGUACAGACGAACUUGGCAUUGAUGAAUGAGACUGCAUAGAAAAGUUGGGUGUGCGUGGUGCACGUGAUAUGGACCGUAUUACCGGACUGAUGAAAUGUCAAUGAUUUUCUAUCCGCCUCUUUCGACUUUUCUGUUUAAAGUUUGCAUUUUAAAUCAACAAAUCGACCUCCGGCAUGAUCUACAGUUACCAAUCGUAAUUGACUGUAAGACAACACCAGUUAAGGUUCUGUUAUGGCGAUAUGUUUCUGUGCCUAAAGGCGACUUUUGGAAUUCGCUGGCCUCUUGGGCUCAGAUAGUAGUAGAGUUUGGUCGCGGUCUUUCUCUUCCGGUGACUUCCUUAAGAGGAUGAAAUUUGUAGAAGGGGGAAAAAAAAUUUUGUCUUCCUGUUGUUAUAAAACGUAUUUUUAUUUUUUUUUCUUUACUUCAUCGAUUAGCAUUUUAAUUUUUCAAACUAGAAGAAAAUUUACGACACGACGAGUGCCGUUCAGUAUUAGUUUAUUAACCGUAAUAAAAUGAUGAUUCUCUUGGAAACAGAACCAUCCCUUUUAUUUUCGCUAGUUGGGUCACAAUAAUAACAAUCAGGAAUUUUUGCCAUCAGCAGACAAAGCCUGUUUAGAGACCACCGUUCUGCAUAACGACGAGGGAAGAGAAAGUAUUGAAUUUUUUUUUUUUUCUUCUUAACCGCGUCUAGCGACAACUAGCCGGGCGAGAUUGCACACGCGUUCCAGUCACUGUCUCACCCCUCUCGCUUUCCCCGUCUCUCCUUCUCUCUCUCUCUCUCUCUCUCUAUCUAUCUCUGAACUGUGUGCUAGCGCGAGAAAAAUCAAUAAAGGUCGUUCGCUCUGGCGUUGACAGACAACAAGCGAGAGUCGACUCGGUACCUGGUUGGCCUCAAAAGUCUCUGCUUGGUGCUGCAAAAGAUAGUCCAGUUGCGUAAUAAAUAAAACAAGUUGCAGCGAAUGUACCGUAGCUACUGGACGAGUAUAGCCAAAGCUAUUAUACAUUGCGGUCUGUGGGCGGGAAAGCGACUGACUUCAGUCCCACUACCGGCCUUUAUUGAUUUUCGUGAAGGAACUGGCUCGGCUAAUGGAUAUGUUGCAGGAUUUGUGGAGGGUAUCCCCCAUCGUGGUACAGAUUGCUGCGCAUAAUACACCGGAUGAUGCGGCGAGAGUAGCGCAGUCGUGGCGUUUAAAACCUCUCCAGUUGACGAAUAAAUAGCGUUUCCCCCUCUCUCCCUUAGCCAUUCUUCCCGGAUAUCGUUUUCGACUCGAUGUGAUGGGAUGGGAGAUGAAUGUCGACCUCUAGCUCUGCAUACAUCUGGUAGUUGAUUUCGUUUGUGCGUGGAAAAACACCAGUAAAUUACGUCCACGUGGGGUAUCGCUGCACUCGGCACGGUCUGCUGGAGUGAAAUUAAUGACGUCGUCACUGUACAAACUAUUUUUAUUCUUCCCGCGGGGAUCAUUGAGUUGACCGUUAAAGUUAUCUGUGGGGCUAAGAUUGGGCGGAGCCCGUGGUAUAAGAGCCUACCGGUUAAUGAAUGGAAAGAAGAAUUUUUUUUUUUUUUUUUUUUGUAUCAAUGUGUGUUUGUUUGACGCCCCAACAGUUCACCAGACAUAUUUAGAGAUUUGAGAAGGAACAUUAGCGCAGGCACUCCCCUUUGUGCUUUGGGUGGUUAGGCAAUUGGAACGAUUACGAAUUUAGUGGAUUUAAAUUGAUUGAAAGAGAGGAUCGUUUUGACAAAUAAGAUCAAAACUUUUUAUUAAAGCAUAUGUUUUCAAUGAACUUUUUUCCUUUUUGAAUGAUAUUGCAAACAUUAUAACAUAAUAAAAAUAUAUAUAUAAUCAUUUUAUCUUUGGAACCACUCCAGUACACUAUUACAUAAGCAUAAUUUUGGUCAUAUUUUAUCCUCUCCCCUAUGUAAGCAAUCUAUUGACCCCUUCUUAAAUUAC